RNAcentral lists this ribosomal RNA (436 nucleotides) under uncultured bacterium. RNAcentral describes it as "bacterial SSU rRNA". It matches the Rfam family "Bacterial small subunit ribosomal RNA", at positions 29 to 507 of the family's 1533-position model. The record is from RNAcentral.
AAUGAACGCUGGCGGCAGGCCUAACACAUGCAAGUCGAACGGGUGCCUUCGGGUGCUAGUGGCGGACGGGUGAGUAACGCGUGGGAACAUACCCUUUGGUACGGAAUAGCCUCGGGAAACUGAGAGUAAUACCGUAUGUGCCCUUCGGGGGAAAGAUUUAUCGCCAAAGGAUUGGCCCGCGUUGGAUUAGGUAGUUGGUGGGGGUAAUGGCCUACCAAGCCGACGAUCCAUAGCUGGUUUGAGAGGAUGAUCAGCCACACUGGGACUGAGACACGGCCCAGACUCCUACGGGAGGCAGCAGUGGGGAAUCUUAGACAAUGGGGGAAACCCUGAUCUAGCCAUGCCGCGUGAUCGAUGAAGGCCUUAGGGUUGUAAAGAUCUUUCAGGUGGGAAGAUAAUGACUGUACCACCAGAAGAAGCCCCGGCUAACUCCGUG